UACGGGGGGAGCAAGCGUUGUUCGGAUUUACUGGGCGUAAAGGGCGCGUAGGCGGCCGGCGCAAGUCAGUUGUGAAAUCUCCGGGCUUAACUCGGAACGGUCAACUGAUACUGCGCGGCUAGAGUGCAGAAGGGGCAACUGGAAUUCUCGGUGUAGCGGUGAAAUGCGUAGAUAUCGAGAGGAACACCUGCGGCGAAGGCGGGUUGCUGGGCUGACACUGACGCUGAUGCGCGAAAGCCAGGGGAGCGAACGGG
RNAcentral lists this ribosomal RNA (254 nucleotides) under uncultured bacterium. Its description in RNAcentral is "partial 16S ribosomal RNA". It matches the Rfam family "Bacterial small subunit ribosomal RNA", at positions 524 to 776 of the family's 1533-position model. The record is from RNAcentral.